CUUCACGGCGUCGGACAUCAUUCACUUUCAUUGCUGGCCGUCGAGUAACUUCUGAGCAGCCCUACUGGUGGUGGCUGCUGAAAUAAGAGGAGACUGGAGGCUGCGGACGGUGUGCCGGGGGGGGAGAGGCCAAAUACAUCCAUGGCAACCAGUAAGGUGUUUGGCAGUGGACUGGCAGUGGACUAGAUGUUAGGACCUUAUAUGAGAGGCUGAGUUCAGCAGCAUGGAUCAGUGUGAGGACAGAGGAACCUCUCUGACAAACUGGGGACUUUGGCUUAG
Perca flavescens (yellow perch) is the source of this 279-nucleotide long non-coding RNA. RefSeq lists it as uncharacterized. NCBI's taxonomy places the organism in Eukaryota, Metazoa, Chordata, Actinopteri, Perciformes, Percidae. The transcript has 3 exons. The record is from RefSeq and is a predicted model, not a curated record.